Molecule: ribosomal RNA, 253 nt
Filed under: uncultured bacterium
Lineage: Bacteria
Description: partial 16S ribosomal RNA
Rfam family: Bacterial small subunit ribosomal RNA
Source: RNAcentral
UACGUGGGGUGCGAGCGUUGUUCGGAAUUACUGGGCGUAAAGCGUGCGCAGGCGGUUCGACAAGUCCGAUGUGAAAGCCCCGGGCUCAACCUGGGAAUGGCAUUGGAAACUGGCGAGCUUGAGUGUGGCAGAGGGGGGUGGAAUUCCGCGUGUAGCAGUGAAAUGCGUAGAGAUGCGGAGGAACACCGAUGGCGAAGGCAGCCCCCUGGGCUGACACUGACGCUCAGGCACGAAAGCGUGGGGAGCAAACAGG